Molecule: ribosomal RNA, 837 nt
Filed under: uncultured bacterium
Lineage: Bacteria
Description: bacterial SSU rRNA
Rfam family: Bacterial small subunit ribosomal RNA
Source: RNAcentral
UACCUAGCGGCGGACGGGUGAGUAAUGCUUAGGAAUCUGCCUAUUAGUGGGGGACAACAUUCCGAAAGGAAUGCUAAUACCGCAUACGUCCUACGGGAGAAAGCAGGGGACCUUCGGGCCUUGCGCUAAUAGAUGAGCCUAAGUCGGAUUAGCUAGUUGGUGGGGUAAAGGCCUACCAAGGCGACGAUCUGUAGCGGGUCUGAGAGGAUGAUCCGCCACACUGGGACUGAGACACGGCCCAGACUCCUACGGGAGGCAGCAGUGGGGAAUAUUGGACAAUGGGGGGAACCCUGAUCCAGCCAUGCCGCGUGUGUGAAGAAGGCCUUUUGGUUGUAAAGCACUUUAAGCGAGGAGGAGGCUACUAGUAUUAAUACUACUGGAUAGUGGACGUUACUCGCAGAAUAAGCACCGGCUAACUCUGUGCCAGCAGCCGCGGUAAUACAGAGGGUGCGAGCGUUAAUCGGAUUUACUGGGCGUAAAGCGUGCGUAGGCGGCUGAUUAAGUCGGAUGUGAAAUCCCUGAGCUUAACUUAGGAAUUGCAUUCGAUACUGGUCAGCUAGAGUAUGGGAGAGGAUGGUAGAAUUCCAGGUGUAGCGGUGAAAUGCGUAGAGAUCUGGAGGAAUACCGAUGGCGAAGGCAGCCAUCUGGCCUAAUACUGACGCUGAGGUACGAAAGCAUGGGGAGCAAACAGGAUUAGAUACCCUGGUAGUCCAUGCCGUAAACGAUGUCUACUAGCCGUUGGGGCCUUUGAGGCUUUAGUGGCGCAGCUAACGCGAUAAGUAGACCGCCUGGGGAGUACGGUCGNCAGACUAAAAACUCAAUGAAUUGACGGGGGCC